UGGGGAAUAUUGGACAAUGGGCGAAAGCCUGAUCCAGCCAUGCCGCGUGAGUGACGAAGGCCUUAGGGUUGUAAAGCUCUUUUGGCGGGGAAGAUAAUGACGGUACCCGCAGAAUAAGCUCCGGCUAACUUCGUGCCAGCAGCCGCGGUAAUACGAAGGGAGCUAGCGUUGUUCGGAAUCACUGGGCGUAAAGCGCACGUAGGCGGAUUGUUUAGUCAGGGGUGAAAUCCCGGGGCUCAACCUCGGAACUGCCUUUGAUACUGGCAAUCUCGAGUCCGAUAGAGGUGGUGGAAUUCCUAGUGUAGAGGUGAAAUUCGUAGAUAUUAGGAAGAACACCGGUGGCGAAGGCGGCCCACUGGAUCGGUACUGACGCUGAGGUGCGAAAGCGUGGGGAGCAAACAGGAUUAGAUACCCCCGUAGUCCCUGAGCGGGCUGGCAAGGCGCAU
RNAcentral lists this ribosomal RNA (446 nucleotides) under uncultured bacterium. Its description in RNAcentral is "bacterial SSU rRNA". It matches the Rfam family "Bacterial small subunit ribosomal RNA", at positions 355 to 825 of the family's 1533-position model. The record is from RNAcentral.